AAACUCCCCAUCAUUUCUCACACAUCAAAUCAUAAAUCAAAAUCAUUAUUCUGAAAUAGUAGUUGCUAUUGUUUCAGAUCUAGGGUUUCUUAUUUCUUCUGUCGGCUGGAGUGAAUUGCAUCCCAAUUAAAAUCUAGGUUAACGACAUAAAGGGGUAAAUAAAGGGAGGUGACAGAAGAGAGUGAGCACACAUGGUAUUUUCUUGCAUAUGAUAUGCUUGAAGCUAUGCGUGCUCACUGCUCUAUCUGUCACCCCUAUCACUCUCUCUCUCUAGAUUUUCUUCUGUUCUAUGUAUGCACGCAUCUGUGUUCGUGAACAUAUGGUAUUAUUUGUAUGGUACUCGGGAGCGGACCUAGGGGCUGAAGGGGUUUAAUCGAAUACCCUUCUCGCCAAGGGAGGUGACAGAAGAGAGUGAGCACACAUGAUAUUUUCUUGCAUAUGAUAUGCUUGAAGCUAUGUGUGCUUACUGCUCUAUCUGUCACCCCCACCACUCUCUCUGUAGAUUUCUUUCUGUUUUAUGUAUAUAUGCGCAUGUAUGUUUAUGAAAAUAUGGUAUUAUUAGUACUCAGGAGCAGACCUAGGGGGUGAAGGAACUUCCGAGCAUCCUUUGUCAAAAAAUUACUCAAAUAAAAGGAGGUGACAGAAGAGAGUGAGCACAUAUGGUGUUUUCUUGCAUGAUAUGUUUAUCCCAUGCCUGAAGCUAUGCUUGCUCACUGCUCUAUCUGUCACCCCCAACACUCACUCUAUCUCUCUCUAGAUUUUUUUAUUUGUGUAUUCUAUGUAUGGAGCUAAUCAUACAUGGGUAUCUAUUGAGGUAAUUGUUUUUUCUUUUCAUGAUGUUGAUUCAUAUUAAUUGGAUCAGUGGACAAUGGAUUGAUAAUUUACAUAGUUUCCUUGUUUUAUUAUUUGUGUAUCUGUGUAUACCAUGGGCUGUUGGA
RNAcentral lists this long non-coding RNA (938 nucleotides) under Nicotiana tabacum (common tobacco). Its description in RNAcentral is "long non-coding RNA (NTAB_LNC002818)". The stretch from base 169 to 252 matches the Rfam family "mir-156 microRNA precursor family". Lineage: Eukaryota; Viridiplantae; Streptophyta; Magnoliopsida; Solanales; Solanaceae. The record is from RNAcentral.